Molecule: ribosomal RNA, 496 nt
Filed under: Aurospio cf. dibranchiata SST-2019
Lineage: Eukaryota; Metazoa; Annelida; Polychaeta; Spionida; Spionidae
Description: partial 16S ribosomal RNA
Rfam family: Bacterial large subunit ribosomal RNA
Source: RNAcentral
CACUAUUAAAGGUCCAUCCUGCCCAGUGACAUAAGUUUAACGGCCGCGGUACCCUGACCGUGCUAAGGUAGCAUAAUCAUUUGCCUUUUAAUUGGAGGCUUGUAUGAACGGACACACGAAAACGCAACUUUCUUAUCGAGGAAAAUAAAAAUUAACCUUCAAGUGAAGAGACUUGAGUAUCAUAAAAAGACGAAAAGACCCUAUGGAGCUUUACUUAAAUUAUUAAACCACAAAUAAAAAAAGCUUUUUUUACUAAAAAAGUUUAGUUGGGGCGACUAAGGAGCACACAUCACCCUCCUACUGACAAAAGACUCUAAAUCUACAAAAGAUCCACAAACGUGAAUAAAAACCCAGCUACCCUAGGGAUAACAGGCUAAUCCUCCUUAAGAGCUCAAAUUGACAGGAGGGCUUGGCACCUCGAUGUUGGCUUAAGAUCUCUACUAAGUGCAGCAGCUUAGGUAGUAGGUUUGUUCAACCUUUAAAAUCUUACGUGAUC